UCGCAAGUUUUCUUACAUUCAUUUCGCAUAAUCGACUGUUAAAAAAAGUUAAAUCGUCCAAUUAUGGCGCUUACGACAGAAAACCAAACAGGUACCAUUUUCGCGAAAAAGAAACGAAUCUGGAUCAGUUUUCAGUUUAGUCACAUGCCUUCUAGAUCAGCAUUUUCGAACUGAAAGCACGUAUUAUGCAAAUAUAGACACAAGCCUAUAGUAUCAGUGAUCUCAUACACAAUUCAGAUCAAUAAAUAUCGGAAUUUGGAGGUGGAAUGUCUAUUACUUCCUUCGGAAUCUUAUUUUCAAUAUGCAAACAAAUUACGGAUACAGAAAGCGGAUACAUUUUUUGAAAUUUAAAUAUUUAAACUGCAGAAUAUAAGAUCUAGGUGCUCCUUGUUACGUGAAGGUUGGGAGACGAUCCUUCGUUAGGAGACGUCUUCGAGCAUACGGUGACCCUUUCCCGUCAACUAACUUUUAAAAGUCAUCUGAUCCUGAUGAUGACGAUGAUGAUGAUGAUGAUGAUGAUGAUGAUGAUGAUGAUGAUGAUGAUGAUGAUGAUGAUGAAAGAAAGUCUUAGUUCAUAUUUAUCAACAUAUUUUUAUAAUUGCAUUUUUUUCGUAAUCUUGUUCAAGAGAUUUGGGUUUUAUUUACUUAAAGGUAAUGGUAAGUACUGCCCAACGCAGAAUAUUUUUAGAAUCGGCAAUGUUCCAUUUUGCGUUUGCAGCAAUGCAAUUAUUCACUUGUCACUCUAUUCCGCUUCUCAGACUUGUGAUUGUACUCCUUACUUCCUCACGGUCUUUCCAUUCUUUCGAGUACAAUGACUUGCCUUUGAAAUCGAAAAUUUAAUUUUUGGGCCAAGCCCAGAAAAAUUUUAAACUAAAAGGCUGUUUUUAUUUCUUCUCUAUAAGACGUUUUAUUUGAAGAAAUCAAGAAAUAAUAAGAUGAAGUAUUCCUUAGUUUUUCGACAAUAAUGUCCUUUUCUUCUCUGACAAACAGUCCAAAAAUGCGAAGGAGAGAUUAUUGGUUUGGAAAUUCUGUUUGACACCAAAAGCAUUAAAUUAAAAGGCUUAGAGAUUAGAAAGUAUGCCAAUUUUUAUAAUCUCAUCAUUUCUAAAUUAUACAAAUCUAAACAGUGUUCCAAUUCAAAUGUUUAAAAUAAGUCUUUUGACGAAAGUUACUUUUUCCAUAAUCUUCUACAUGCCAGAUAAUUGUUUUUUUUUCAGUUUGUUUGCCAAACUUGCAUGGUUUUUCAGUGGGUUUCUAACAUAAGCUUAAUUUAUUAUUGAACUUGUUACAUAAAGUUUAAGUUACAUUCCAAAUAUUAUACUAA
Belonocnema kinseyi is the source of this 1324-nucleotide long non-coding RNA. RefSeq lists it as uncharacterized. The transcript is spliced from 4 exons. The record is from RefSeq and is a predicted model, not a curated record. Lineage: Eukaryota; Metazoa; Arthropoda; Insecta; Hymenoptera; Cynipidae.